This 449-nucleotide ribosomal RNA is filed under the name uncultured bacterium. RNAcentral's name for it is "bacterial SSU rRNA". It matches the Rfam family "Bacterial small subunit ribosomal RNA", at positions 329 to 793 of the family's 1533-position model. The record is from RNAcentral.
UGCCAGACUCCUACGGGAGGCAGCAGUGGGGGAUAUUGCACAAUGGGGGAAACCCUGAUGCAGCGACGCCGCGUGAGUGAAGAAGUAUUUCGGUACGUAAAGCUCUAUCAGCAGGGAAGAAAAAUGACGGUACCUGACUAAGAAGCCCCGGCUAACUACGUGCCAGCAGCCGCGGUAAUACGUAUGGGGCAAGCGUUAUCCGGAUUUACUGGGUGUAAAGGGAGCGUAGGCGGCAGGGCAAGCCUGAUGUGAAAGCCCGGGGCUCAACCCCGGGACUGCAUUGGGAACUGCCCCGCUCGAGUGCCGGAGGGGCAGGCGGAAUUCCUAGUGUAGCGGUGAAAUGCGUAGAUAUUAGGAGGAACACCAGUGGCGAAGGCGGCCUGCUGGACGGUGUACUGACGCUGAGGCUCGAAGGCGUGGGGAGCAAACAGGAUUAGAUACCCGGGUAC